This 253-nucleotide ribosomal RNA is filed under the name uncultured bacterium. Its description in RNAcentral is "partial 16S ribosomal RNA". It matches the Rfam family "Bacterial small subunit ribosomal RNA", at positions 524 to 776 of the family's 1533-position model. The record is from RNAcentral.
UACGUAGGGUGCAAGCGUUAAUCGGAAUUACUGGGCGUAAAGCGUGCGCAGGCGGUUUGGUAAGUCUGACGUGAAAUCCCCGGGCUCAACCUGGGAAUUGCGUUGGAGACUGCAAGGCUAGAAUCUGGCAGAGGGGGGUAGAAUUCCACGUGUAGCAGUGAAAUGCGUAGAGAUGUGGAGGAACACCGAUGGCGAAGGCAGCCCCCUGGCUCAAGAUUGACGCUCAUGCACGAAAGCGUGGGGAGCAAACAGG